AGUGAACGCUGGCGGCAGGCCUAACACAUGCAAGUCGAACGGUAACACGAAGAAGCUUUCUGCUUAGCUGUCGAGAGUCGGGGGGGGGUGUAAUGUCUAGGAAACUGUCCGUUUUCGGGGGGUAACAAGUGGAAACGGUAGCGAAAAUACCAUAACCUCCCUAGGGCAAAGAGCGGGAGCUUUUGGCCUCUUGCCCGCAUGUAUGCCCAGAUGGGAUUAGCUAGUAGGUGGGGUAAAGGCGCACCUAGGCGACGCUCCGUAGCUGGUCUGAGAGGAUGAUCAGCCACACUGGAACUGAGACACGGUCCAGACUCCUACGGGAGGCAGCAGUGGGGAAUAUUGGACAAUGGGCGCAAGCCUGAUGCAGCCAUACUGCGUGUAUGAAGAAGGCCUUCGGGUUGUAAAGUCCUUUUGGCGGGGAGGAAGGGAAUAAAGUUAAUACCUUGGCGCAUUGACGUUACCCAAAGAAGAAGCACCGGCUAACUCCGUG
Molecule: ribosomal RNA, 490 nt
Filed under: uncultured bacterium
Lineage: Bacteria
Description: partial 16S ribosomal RNA
Rfam family: Bacterial small subunit ribosomal RNA
Source: RNAcentral